RNAcentral lists this ribosomal RNA (454 nucleotides) under uncultured bacterium. RNAcentral's name for it is "bacterial SSU rRNA". It matches the Rfam family "Bacterial small subunit ribosomal RNA", at positions 771 to 1229 of the family's 1533-position model. The record is from RNAcentral.
AACAGGAUUAGAUACCCUGGUAGUCCACGCCGUAAACGAUGAGCACUAGGUGUCGGGGUCGCAAGAUUUCGGUGCCGUAGUUAACGCAUUAAGUGCUCCGCCUGGGGAGUACGUUCGCAAGAAUGAAACUCAAAGGAAUUGACGGGGACCCGCACAAGCAGCGGAGCAUGUGGUUUAAUUCGAAGCAACGCGAAGAACCUUACCAGGACUUGACAUCCCUCUGACAGGACCUUAACCGGUCCCUCCUUCGGGCAGAAGAGACAGGUGGUGCAUGGUUGUCGUCAGCUCGUGUCGUGAGAUGUUGGGUUAAGUCCCGCAACGAGCGCAACCCUUGUCAUUAGUUGCCAUCAUUAAGUUGGGCACUCUAGUGAGACUGCCGGGGAUAACUCGGAGGAAGGUGGGGAUGACGUCAAAUCAUCAUGGCCCUUAUGGGUAGGGCUUCACACGUCAUACA